Molecule: transfer RNA, 75 nt
Filed under: Acidobacteria bacterium 13_1_40CM_3_65_5
Lineage: Bacteria; Pseudomonadati; Acidobacteriota
Also listed under: 7 other names
Description: tRNA-Glu
Rfam family: tRNA
About the family: Transfer RNA (tRNA) molecules are approximately 80 nucleotides in length. Their secondary structure includes four short double-helical elements and three loops (D, anti-codon, and T loops). Further hydrogen bonds mediate the characteristic L-shaped molecular structure. tRNAs have two regions of fundamental functional importance: the anti-codon, which is responsible for specific mRNA codon recognition, and the 3' end, to which the tRNAs corresponding amino acid is attached (by aminoacyl-tRNA synthetases). tRNAs cope with the degeneracy of the genetic code in two manners: having more than one tRNA (with a specific anti-codon) for a particular amino acid; and 'wobble' base-pairing, i.e. permitting non-standard base-pairing at the 3rd anti-codon position.
Source: RNAcentral
GGCGGUAUCGUCUAGGGGUCAGGACACGUGGUUCUCAGCCACGGGACCGGGGUUCGAAUCCCCGUACCGCUACCA